GUUCACAUGGAGUCACACCAUUACACAGGCUUCGUGCACUUCAGCACACCACAGAGACUCCCACUCUUUCCCUGAAUGAAAAGAAGGAAAAAUCUAAGCAAAUUCAAACUUGGUGUAUUUCAUAGCACUUCGCAAAUUACACCAUAAGUACAAUCAAGUCUGUGAGGACACUCAAGAUCUUACAGGACUGAGCGUAUGAAGCUAAAGAAAUAACUUUUCCAUCCAGAACAUGGUUUCAGACAUUACAAAGAAGGAAGACAGGCACAACCACACAGUUCUGUGAUUCUUAGUAAGAAAUCCCUUUCUUCGCCAUCACAGUUAUCUAGUUACGUAGUAACUACCCUAUUGAACUUGCAAAACCUCGUGAAAAGACUGCAGAAAUAUCGACAUUCAUAAGAAUCCCUCAAAAAUAAUUUCACUGUUAAAAAUGGUUAGCUUUGUAUUUUAUUUUAUUUUGUCUUGUUGUGUUUUCUUACUGUUUGCUGUCACUAUUCCUCACUUGGGGCCAUUAAACACAUUCACCGUGACAGCCAAGAAUGCAACAUCUGCAUUCUUUGCCUGGUAGAAACACGAGCAGGUGUGAGCAAGAGCAGUCAAUGUGGGCCCUUGCCAACUUCUACCAAACCAAUUGAGUUGCCAAGGUACGUAGGACACACAUACUAUCUCC
This 667-nucleotide long non-coding RNA is filed under the name Gallus gallus (chicken). The record is from RNAcentral. Lineage: Eukaryota; Metazoa; Chordata; Aves; Galliformes; Phasianidae.